This 1428-nucleotide long non-coding RNA is filed under the name Capsicum annuum. RNAcentral's name for it is "long non-coding RNA (CANN_LNC012000)". The record is from RNAcentral. Lineage: Eukaryota; Viridiplantae; Streptophyta; Magnoliopsida; Solanales; Solanaceae.
UAGAUAAUGACUUCAUCUUCUUCCCUCAGUUUCUUCCAUUUCUUUGUAAAUUGAGUACUACUGCAUUGCAGUUACUGUUUCAUUCUUUUACUGUACAAAAACCCACACAUUUCAAUAAGCCCCUCCAGAUUGCGCUAAAGUAUGUACAGUCAUACAAAAAAGUGGGAGAAUGUCUCCUCCAAUCCAGUGUCACACAAUACAUACUCUUUGGACACCUGAAUCCCCCAUCGGGACAAUUUGUUGAAGUGCUAACCAAGUUAUGAAUUGAUGCCUCGGGAUGAUACCAACCCCUAUUGUGAUACUCUUCUAUGUAACUUUGGGGCACUGAGGGAUAAAGGACUGGUAGGCUAGUUUGAUACUGGAUUUUUCCUUCUUACAAAAACUAUUCAGUUCUGCCUGCACAUUUCCAUUAGGAAAUCAGUCCUUUGACACCAAUAAUCUUCCUUACAAUCCAACUAGCUCUCUUGGGACUCAAAAUAGUGUCAAUGUUGUUGUUCUUGAUGUAAUAUGCAUGUACCCACUGUAUACAUGAUGUGUCCUUCUUCGUAGCAAUAACCCAUAGCAAUUUACAUAUCGCUUCUCUAUUUCAUCGGUAGACAUCAAUGAUAUUCAACCCUCCUGCCAAUCUAGGUAGGCACAACUUUUCCCAGUUGAAGUAUCAACACUCCCAAUCCAUAAGAAUGUUCUGCAUACUCUAGUAAUUAAUUCAGUAAUCUUCUUAGGUAGUAAAAAUACUUGUGCCCUGUAUGUCUGCAUCUCGAAUAGAACACUUUUUAUAUGCUGCAAUCUGUCACUAUAUAAGAAGAGCUUCGUGGUCCAACAUUUUGUUCUUGCUACCAUCUUCUCAAUCAAAGGCAUACAUUGCUGGAUACGCUACCAUCUUCUCAAUCAAAGGCAUACAUUGCUGGAUACUUAGUUUCUUAGAAGAUAAAGGAACCCCUAAAUAGCGAAAUGACAUUUUCCCUUCCAUGAACUGCAUAUCAGCCAAGAUUUGAUCUUUAAUAACUUGAGUGACACCUGCUAGGUAGAUAGAACUCUUACCCAAGUUGGCAUGAAGUGCAGACACUUGAGAAAAAUGAUUAAAGGAUUGUAGCAUAAGUUGAAUAGAAGUAUGGUCAGCUCUACAACAAAACAUACAUGUACCAGAUGCAUUUUCUCACAUCGAGGAUGGUAAUUGAAAUUAGGAACGUACCUUAAUUGUUUGAGAGUUCUGUUCAGAUAUUUCAUGUCAAGCACAAACAGGUAAGUUGUUACAAUUGUAUUAUAUUUGCUAUAAUAUAACUAAAAAUUACACAAAUACACAACUUAUGUUUCCAAUAUUACAAAAAAUUUCAACUCCCUAAACAUAUUACAAAAAUUCCAACAUAUACACAAAAUGUUAUGUAUAUGUCGGUUAUGUUAUGUAUAUUAAGUAAUUAAAAAAGUGGA